AAAGGCUAUGGUAAAGAGGCAGGAAAGUCAUAAGUAGUUUUAAACGAUAUUCAAGACUUUGCAUAUUUUUUUCUUACAGGUGGGAACUGAUAUUGAGAAUGUUCUUCCUGGGCUAUUCUCAUGUGAAAGGAAACCAAACAGCAUAUUAAAACCAAAAUCCAUUCUCAUCAUCCUCUUCCACAUCCCAUCUCCCUUCCCAGGGCACCUCCUCUCUUUCCUUUACCUGUCAACAAACAGUUUGGCUCUGAUUACGUAGGACAAACAUUAAAGUCAGGAGCUGCGAGAGCAGUGAGAUGGAUGGGUGGGAUGUCCCCCCGCACCUCGGCGCUCUGUCUUGCUGCACGGGGCAGGGAACAGUCUGGGCUGAUUUCCUUUAGAUUUGAGCUGGCAGUAAAUUGGAAAACAUGAAUCAUCUUGACGCAGAUGCUCCUGAGAUGGAUUACCUGGCUUGGCAGCUUGUUCCUCUCUUUCCACAAGGCUUGCUUUCUUCUCUUCUUUCACUGAAACAUUUCAUUUCCCAGACACAGGAGGGUUCCCACUCCAUGCCCUGGCACGUCUGGGAGCCCCACGCUGCUUUCCAGCUGCUCCCAUGGCCAAGCUCUUUCCCGUCUUUUUCUCAUAGGAAUUGCCUCUUCUUUCAAGACGUGGGGGUGAGAGCUGAAGCUCCUGCUUGGGACAGAACUGCUGCUGCUCCUCACUAACAAGCUGCCACCUUCAGCAGUCCCUCUGAGGAACCCAAAGCUGGAAGCACGGUAACGCUCCAUAUUUUAUUCACCAGGCAGAGGGUUUCUCUCCCGCAGCAAUCUCUGCCGCUCCAGCCAAGGGCAGCAUGAGAUCAACGCUCGACUGCUGACUUGUGUGAUGCUCACAGCCCCUGCUCUGGCCCAGCACGGCUAAAUCACAGGUUAAAUACAUCCAGACACCUUUCCGCCUUAAAGAAUCCAGCACUUCACCCCACAAAUUAUGUGCAAAACAGGCAAAUAAGCGCCAGUGCCAUUUGCAGUGAUUGCAGCAAUCAAGAGUCCGGCUCAGACUUGCUCUCAGGGGCUGUAAAUCUUUAACUCCGCAGGCACAGCCCCCCGGUUGAUAACGAGUCAUUAGCCUUAAUUCCACCUCUUGCCCUCUUUUAAGAGGGUUCAUCUGGAGCCCCCCCAUAGCGAUACCAGUGGAACCAGUAAUCAUGGGGCAGCACAGGAGCAGCGCCUGAGCGAUGCACGGAGCGCCAGCAGCAUUGCUGCCCUUCGGCUCCUGCUCAGCCGCCGCCUUCCUCUCUGUCUCCUUUAUGUCUCCAGCUUAAGUUCUGCUGGAACUGAAUUUUUUUUCUUGAUGGGAGGAGAUUUAGAAGCAGAGAGAUAUCUGUGGAAGGAAGCAGCACCUUCCUGAAGGGUCUCAGGGGGAUGCAGGCACGUGGGAGCCAACCUCUCUCACUACUCGCAUCACCCAAGCCUUGACUUAGGACUUUCCCAGCUCUCCCCUGAAGCUGGAAUUCCCAGACAUUAUUUUUGCCAUUCCCUAGUGUUUCUCCCUCAACUAUGGGUCUCAGAAGCCCCAUCUGAGGAACAUCGGGUAGGACGCAGGUUUGCUUCUAUUGAUUAUUUUAAGAGCUGGUGAAUUUUUGAGAGCCACCUCGCUUCCUCUCCUCCUCUCCAUCCCUUUCUCCAUCUCCCUUUGAACAAAUCGUUGCUUUUGCGGCGUCCCGUUGUUUAAUUUUGCCGAGUGCUGAGUUUCAACCUCCCGUUAAUUGCUUUUGCCCGUCUUUGUGCAUUCCGUUAAAUGAGAAAGCGCCGCACAUAAAAUUUUAAUUUUGAAAGCCGCCUUGUUUGUUUUAUAUUGAAAUUACCCACGCCGCGCCGGCCUGCAGAAAGAGACGCUUUCUCAUUUCAUUAAAAACUCUUUGUGAUGAUAAAAAGCAGCAGAAACGAGAUAAAGAGUGGUGUUUCCUUAAAGACACAUGAAAGCAAGGGAGAUAAAUCCCAUGUAUUGCAGGGGAUCAAAUCCAAGGCAAGGCUGCAACGCGGCGAUACCAGGGAGGAGGCUGAGCUGUGACCAACAGUGUUGUGCGCCGAUAGCUCCUCUCCCAGGAUGGUGUGGGUUUUGCCUGGCCUGGUGGCCACCACCCACCCAUUGCUUCAGCCCCAGACCCACCACAAAGCGCUUAGAAGACCGGUGUCACCAGCCAGAAGCAGAAGUACUGGUGGAGAGACUGAUGUGAGGGCACCCAGUGAACCCUGUGGAGGGAUGGUGCCAUGAAACCAUCACCACGGCCUCAGGGCACACGGCAUGAGGGUCAGGAGUCCGGGAGCGCUGGACUGACACGUGUACCGAGGAGCAGAGCUGGCCUGCAAGCAGGAGGGACCUUCCCACCGAUGCUUCAGCUGGGCACGCUUCCAAAGCAGAGCAAUGCAUCAGCUGACGGGUUCUCACUCUGGCAACCAGCUAUGAUGCUGCCAUCAGAGAUGUCUUUAUUGAAGCAAGCAAGAGAAGCAGAUGGUCUCGCAGUCAGCAUCUCCAUAAAUGCCUUCUUCUCUGCUUUCCAACCGGGCACCGAGUGUGAUGAGGAUGGAGCAACGUCUCCUGGUGCCUCUUAGGCCAAAGCCUGGUCUUUAACAUGGUGAGAAGCAGCAGGGUGGUACCACCUCACCUCCCAAACUGGCCAGGGGACAAUGUUUGCUCUCUCAGGAAGCGCCGAGCACACAUUUUAGAGCUCAACAACUGGUGGUGAGGGAAAGAAAAAAGGGUCAAGGCUGGACGUUGAGUGGCUGAUCCAGCUGAAGGCCAUGCUACCAUGCUCUCCUGGGGUUUUGUGACAUCCCCGCUCUGCUCCCAUCCUGUGUUGGUCCCCCGUCUCCCGGCGGGGAGCAGAGUCUGUCCCAGGAGCAGACCGGGAAGCAGAGGGGAGCAUUUUCCUAAGAAGCACGGCUUGUCGGGGCAGAUCGGCCCUUGUUGCAACACGACUGGCAUGAACCCCAGGAGCUUGUGGCAGCGUCUGCUCCAGUGGUGGGGCUGGAACUGGGAC
This is a long non-coding RNA of Cuculus canorus (common cuckoo), 3016 nucleotides long. RefSeq lists it as uncharacterized. NCBI's taxonomy places the organism in Eukaryota, Metazoa, Chordata, Aves, Cuculiformes, Cuculidae. The record is from RefSeq and is a predicted model, not a curated record. The transcript has 3 exons.